RNAcentral lists this long non-coding RNA (311 nucleotides) under Brassica napus (rape). RNAcentral describes it as "long non-coding RNA (BNAP_LNC006544)". The record is from RNAcentral. Lineage: Eukaryota; Viridiplantae; Streptophyta; Magnoliopsida; Brassicales; Brassicaceae.
UCCUAUCAUAAUGUAAAAAUAACAAUACGAUGUAAGAUAACUAUUUAGUAAAAUAUAUGGUAGGUGAUCGGAAUAUUUUUCUGGGUUUAGUGUCUCAUUAUGCUUUCCCGUGCUUGGUAGAUAAUGGUAAAAGUACAUAUUUGUUCGAUCCAGAACAUCUUAUGGGAAGAAAUAAUUUUUAGUUCAUGAACGUUAGUUUUCAAUUUAUGUCUACUAAAUUAUUCGUAUAUUCUAUGAUUGGAUCAAGUUGUUGAAUAUUGAAUGUCGAAAAUCACCAUCAGCCCCCACAGUUAAACCAAAGAACUGAUUAU